RNAcentral lists this long non-coding RNA (1017 nucleotides) under Calidris pygmaea (Spoon-billed sandpiper). RNAcentral describes it as "lncRNA (ENSCPGG00000009974.1)". The record is from RNAcentral. Lineage: Eukaryota; Metazoa; Chordata; Aves; Charadriiformes; Scolopacidae.
GGGGCACUCGGAGGGUUGAGAUAACGACAGAUCUGACCAGAGCAUGCUAAAAGGAAUUUUGUAUCUGUAUUUAUUGUAUUAGUUGCUGGGCACAAUGUUGCUUCGAUUGUUUUCAUGGCUGUGUUAUGUGAACUCUUACAUGCUCUAUGUACUCCCCGUUAUGAUGUUUAUCACUUCUGGGAGAGGGAUCAGGAUUAUAAUUUUGCUGUCCUGUGUGAUAUCAACUUAUGAUAUGAUAGCAUCACUGUUCAGAUGGUUUUGUUGGGGAGUUUAUUCAGCACUGCUUUCCUUCCCAUGUCUCAGGGAAUUUAUUAAUAAACACACUGAGUCUAUGAGGGAAGCAGGGGGGGAUAUUUUCCCCAGCUCUUUCACCUCCUUUUUCUCUUUCAUGCUGGCUAUGCCAGUUUUUGAGAAUUUUGAAUACCCUUGGGACAUGCAAACCAGUUUGGUCCUGUUGCUAGGUCUCCUGAAUGUGUUUCAGUUUCUGUUUAGGGUUAAGCAACUAUUUAAGACUACCACCAAGAGAUCUGCCCCGAGGCUGGAGAGUCAUGGGUGGCAUGGCAUGUGGGAGAACAUGGGCAGGUAUCUAGAGAGUUUUUCACCUCCAAUGGUCUGGGAUUUCACCACUGAACAAUUACAGGACCCUGAUAAAGUGAUAGAAUAUUUAAAAGGAAAAUGUUGUGGCUAUUCCAGAGAGGCACAACUCACUGCAUUGUGCUGGGCCUUGGCCAGUAUCUACCAAGCAUUGCUCAAUGUUGUGCAGCAUCCUCAGGGGGAAGAGAUGGAAACCAGGCUGACAGAUGCUGCGGCUGCUCUAACCCCUGCAACCAAUGCUGUGGCUGCUCCAACCCCUGCAGCCAACGCUGCGGCUGCUCCAACCCCUGUGACAGACACUGUGGCUGCCCCAACCCCUGCGGUAGACACUGCGGCUGCUCCAACUCCUGCAGCAGGUGCUGUGGCUACCCCAACCCCAGUGACAGGCACUGCAACUGAACCAGAAAACCAACCUGUGCCCAU